This 1186-nucleotide unclassified non-coding RNA is filed under the name Octopus sinensis (East Asian common octopus). RNAcentral's name for it is "endoplasmic reticulum resident protein 29, transcript variant X2". Lineage: Eukaryota; Metazoa; Mollusca; Cephalopoda; Octopoda; Octopodidae. The record is from RNAcentral.
CAUUUCUCUCUUCCAUUCAGUGUGACAACAAUUACCCAAGCUGCACACUUGUCUCCGACUCACUCUCACAUUAACCAUGGCACAUCAGUCCACACCGAUCGCAUUAUUUAUCUUGUUUUUAGCACUAUUAUGGCCUGCAUGCUUGGCCGAAAUGAUCAAAGGAUCUGUGCCAUUAAAUUCCGGCGUUUUUGAUAAGGUUAUCAGUAAACACAAAGCAGUUUUGGUGAAAUUUGAUGAAACUUAUCCUUAUGGUGAAAAACAAGAGCAGUUUAAAAAGGUUGCUCAGUCAUCUUACGUACAACCAGAAUUACUAAUUGCUGAAGUUCAAAUUGCUGAUUAUGGUGAACAAGAAAAUAUGGACCUUGCUACCCGGUUUAAUGUCAAAAAAGAAGAUUUCCCUGUUUAUAAACUGUUUCUGCAGGAUAAGAAAGAACCAAUCGCUUAUACAGGAAACGUGAAAGAUUCUGCAGCAAUAAAAAGAUUUGUUAUGAAAAAUACAGAUCUCUGGCUAGGAAUGCCAGGCUGUUUAGAAGACUAUGAUGUUCUUGUGAAGAAAUUUGCCCGUGCUUCAUCUGAAGAGAGACAAGCAAUUCUUGCCGAAGCUGAAGAAAUUAAAAAUAAGUAUAGAAAUGAUGUGCAGAAAUCCUACGCUACAAUCUAUGUAAAAACAAUGAAAAAAAUAAUGGAAAAGGACGAUUUCUUGGCAUCAGAAAUGAAACGAGUAGAGAAAUUAAAAGACGGAAAAGUAAGUGACAAAAAGAAGGAACAGCUUAGUGAUAGAUUAAACAUUCUUAAUUCCUUCCAUGUAAAAUUCCAAGAUGAACUAUAACAGGUCCCAGUUGUUUUAAUCAUUAUUACUUUUUUUUUUUCUGAAAUACUAUUCAUAUACAUGAUUAAUAUAUUUCCAUAUCAAUAAACAUCAUUCCUCUUUAUAUUUCUUUUUAGAGAAAAACAAACAAAAUGUGUAAAACAAGACUUUUAUUUCAUGUUACACCUCUUGGAGAAUGUUAUUUCUUUCUGUUUCAAAAGGUUUUUUUUUUUACAAAUUUGUUGUAAGCAUUUAGAUUAAAUAGCAUUAAUUUAAGACUUGGUACUAAGUGCAUUUAAGUUUGGAAUGUAGCAAAGUGUAAAUGCCCCUAAUGCUGCUGAGUAUUUUAAUCUUGUGUUUCAGAAGUUCCAAAUUUUC